RNAcentral lists this ribosomal RNA (483 nucleotides) under uncultured bacterium. RNAcentral describes it as "partial 16S ribosomal RNA". It matches the Rfam family "Bacterial small subunit ribosomal RNA", at positions 29 to 507 of the family's 1533-position model. The record is from RNAcentral.
AUUGAACGCUGGCGGCAGGCCUAACACAUGCAAGUCGAGCGGAUGAAGGGAGCUUGCUCCUGGAUUCAGCGGCGGACGGGUGAGUAAUGCCUAGGAAUCUGCCUGGUAGUGGGGGAUAACGUCCGGAAACGGGCGCUAAUACCGCAUACGUCCUGAGGGAGAAAGUGGGGGAUCUUCGGACCUCACGCUAUCAGAUGAGCCUAGGUCGGAUUAGCUAGUUGGUGGGGUAAAGGCCUACCAAGGCGACGAUCCGUAACUGGUCUGGGAGGAUGAUCAGGCACAGGGGACCGGACAACCGGACCAGAGACUGACGGGAGGCACAGUCGGGUAAGAUAGGCAAAUGGGGGGAAGCUUGCUCAAGCCGUGCCGGAGUGGUGAAGAAGGUCUUCGAUUGGUAAAGCACUUUAAGUGGGGGGAAAGGGCGUUACCUAAAAACCUGCCUGUUUGACGGUAACGAACAAAAAAGCAACGGGUAAAUUCGGG